Molecule: non-coding RNA, 205 nt
Organism: Oryza barthii
Lineage: Eukaryota; Viridiplantae; Streptophyta; Magnoliopsida; Poales; Poaceae
Source: Rfam
AAAAAGGCAAACCCUGAGUUUCCGUGUCCAACGUUUGACUGUCCAUCUUAUAUGAAUUUUUUUAUAAUUAGUAUUUUUAUUGUUGUUAUAUGAUAAAACAUGAUUAAUACUUUAUGUGUGACUUAUCUUUUUAAUUUUUUUCAUAAUUUUUUCAAAAAGAUGGACGGUCAAACGUUAGACACGGAAACUCAAGAUUUGUCUUUUU